RNAcentral lists this long non-coding RNA (1521 nucleotides) under Homo sapiens (human). RNAcentral's name for it is "HSALNT0345831". The record is from RNAcentral. Lineage: Eukaryota; Metazoa; Chordata; Mammalia; Primates; Hominidae.
AAACCUUGUGGGAAAAUGGUGCCUAUUUUUGACAACUGGAUGUCUUCGUGGCCGAGGUCCCUAUGACCUUCCUCUCAAAAGAAUACGUGUAGUUUUAGUUCUCAGACAUCUGGGUCUUGCUCUGUUGCCCAGGCUAGAGUGCAGUAAUGUGAUCAUGGCUCACUGAAGCCUCAGCCUCCGCCUCCUGGGCUCAAGUGAGCCUCCUACCUCAGCCUCCCGAGUAACUGGGACCACAGCAUGUUCUUUUAAACUUCCUAAAGAAGCCCAUGAUAACUGGGAACACGGGCCCUUCACUGAGGCAGGAGAAUCACAUGAGCCACACAUGAUAUCCACUGGAGGAGACAGAAAGUCUGGGAGUGUCAACUGAAUUGAAAGAAAAGGAAAGCAGAGAUGACAGACAGCACACCGGAAGUGACAGGAUAAGCAGUGCAUCUAGCUGGGAAAUAUGUACACUGCCUCCUUCUAUAUCUCAAAAAUCAUCUAGAAUGUUAGAGUGAUUUUCUGGGUCAGAGGGAAGACACGUCUUCAUUUGUUAACUUUUAGAUUUGCGUACCAACUUAUUACUGUAAGCAAUUUAAUUGCAAAGGAUAAAGAACAAGAUAUGAUGCAUCAUCAGGAGAAAAGUCAAGAAUCCAUGUUUAAAUUCAGUUACCUUAUGUAAUCGAAGGUAUACAUGAGCCGAAGAGAGUUUGUCCACAUGAAACCUACAAAGAAUGAAAACCACUUUUAGCAAGAGGUACAAGACAAUCAUCUCCUCAGGCCACAUGCCAUUUAAAGCAUUCUGUUCUAAAAAGUCUUCACUCCAUGCCUGCCACAUGUGAAGCAUCAUGAGGAGUAUAAAGCACAGUCACCACCUCCAAAGGGCUCCCCAUCACCAUGAAGAGGUACGAGAAACACUGAAUUAUGGAGCUGUGAGUAAGUGCCAAGAUGAGUAGAGAUACUAAAUAUUAACUGUACUGGGAAGGGUGAUUUUUCAAGAUAUAAAAAGAACUAUCAGUGAUCAAAGGCUUCAUGAUAAAAAGGAGGCAGUGAGAUUUGGUUGGCCCCUGACUGAAGCAUAGGACUUAGAGCAAAACCAAGGAAAGGAAUUUCAGGUGAAAAGAGUGGGGGAUGAAAGAAGUCAGCAAGUCUCCAAUGCUGCCAGCCUGGGAGAUUAGCAGAACCACAGUUUGGCGGAAACAGAUGACAGUUUCGUUUGUGACAUCCCAAAUUUCAAGUUAUAGCAAAACAAUCCAAAGAGAAUGUCGAAUAGAGAGCUGGAAGAGUUAGGUGGGGCCUAAAGACGCUAAGCAGAACACGUCAUUAAAUGGGUCACAAUUCAAUAAUGUAACCCAAUAAUUCACAAGCACAACAGUUCAUCCGGCCCUAUAUUCUGACAGUGAUACCAAUAUAUGUCUCUUGGGUGAGCACUGCCCUUUACUGACAUUGUCCUAAAAACAUUCAGAAUGUCCCCCACCCCUUAAAUUUACCUUUCAUGAUGGAUCUAUCAUCUAUCAAUUUAAUUAAACCUUUUAAAAUCUA